GCUGGCGGCGUGCCAACACAUGCAAGUCGAACGGAGAUAUGAUUUCGGUUGUAUCUUAGUGGCGAACGGGUGAGUAACGCGUGAACAACCUGACUCUCAGAGGGGGAUAACACUCGGAAACGGGUGCUAAUACCGCAUAAGACCACGACCUGGCAUCAGGAUGAGGUCAAAGGAGCAAUCCGCUGAGAGAGGGGUUCGCGUCCCAUUAGAUAGAUGGCGGGGUAACGGCCCACCAUGUCAGCGAUGGGUAGCCGAGCUGAGAGGCUGAUCGGCCACACUGGAACUGAGACACGGUCCAGACUCCUACGGGAGGCAGCAGUGGGGAAUAUUGGGCAAUGGGCGCAAGCCUGACCCAGCAACGCCGCGUGAGGGAAGAAGGCUUUCGGGUUGUAAACCUCUAUCCUUGGUGACGAAAAAAAUGACGGUAGCCAAGGAGGAAGCCCCGGCUAACUACGUGCCAGCAGCCGCGGUAUACGUAGGGGGCGAGCGUUGUCCGGAAUUACUGGGCGUAAAGGGUGCGUAGGUGGCCUUUUAAGUUGGAUGUGAAAUACCCGGGCUUAACUUGGGGGGUGCACCUAAUACUGGAGGGCUAGAGUGCAGGAGAGGAAAGCGGAAUUCCUAGUGUAGCGGUGAAAUGCGUAGAUAUUAGGAGGAACACCAGUGGCGAAGGCGGCUUUCUGGACUGUAACUGACACUGAGGCACGAAAGCGUGGGGAGCAAACAGGAUCAGAUACCCUGGUAGUCCACGCGGUAAACGAUGAAUACUAGGUGUAGGGGGUAUCAACUCCCCCUGUGCCGGAGCUAACGCAAUAAGUAUU
This 818-nucleotide ribosomal RNA is filed under the name uncultured bacterium. RNAcentral describes it as "bacterial SSU rRNA". It matches the Rfam family "Bacterial small subunit ribosomal RNA", at positions 35 to 868 of the family's 1533-position model. The record is from RNAcentral.